GCCGAAAUAGCUCAGUUGGGAGAACUCAUUUGGGAGAGUGUUAGACUGAAGAUCUAAAGGUCCCUGGUUCAAUCCCAGGUUUCGGCA
This is a non-coding RNA of Xiphias gladius (swordfish), 87 nucleotides long. The record is from the annotation of a RefSeq genome assembly. NCBI's taxonomy places the organism in Eukaryota, Metazoa, Chordata, Actinopteri, Istiophoriformes, Xiphiidae.